UCUGACCAGCUACGCGCGUUCUGACUUGGUGCCCCGCAGCCCGGCUGCGCAGUGCGCACGUGCAGUAGGGGCAGCACGUGGGCAGGCUUCCUAGGGCGCGGGAGAGCUGCUGGGCGCCAGCUCCCGGAGUCCAGUGGCUUUGUGAGGAUUUCAGCCUUCAUUCUUCAACGAAAAGCUUCCACACACCAUCAGUGCCUUGCUAGUGUGCCAUACG
Long non-coding RNA from Terrapene triunguis (Three-toed box turtle), 214 nucleotides. RefSeq lists it as uncharacterized. Lineage: Eukaryota; Metazoa; Chordata; Testudines; Emydidae. The record is from RefSeq and is a predicted model, not a curated record. The transcript has 3 exons.